GUUGUAGUCUGGAGAAGCGUUUUCUGUGUUGGACCGUGUAUAAGUCUCUUGGAAUAGGGCGUCAUAGAGGGUGAGAAUCCCGUCUUUGACACGGACUACCAAUGCUUUGUGAUGCGCUCUCAAAGAGUCGAGUUGUUUGGGAAUGCAGCUCAAAAUGGGUGGUAAAUUCCAUCUAAAGCUAAAUAUAGGCGAGAGACCGAUAGCGAACAAGUACCGUGAGGGAAAGAUGAAAAGCACUUUGGAAAGAGAGUUAAACAGUACGUGAAAUUGCUGAAAGGGAAACGCUUGAAGUCAGUCGCAUCUGCCAGGACUCAGCCUCACUUCUGUGUGGUGUACUUUCUGGUUUGAUGGGCCAACAUCAAUUUUGACCGUUGGAGAAAGGCUUUGGGAAUGUGGCACCUUCGGGUGUGUUAUAGCCCUUUGUUGUAUGCAACGGUUGGGAUUGAGGACUGCAGCACGCCUUUAUGGCCGGGGUUCACCCACGUACGUGCUUAGGAUGUUGGCAUAAUGGCUUUAAGCGACCCGUCUUGAAACACGGACCAAGGAGUCUAACAUGCCUGCGAGUGUUUGGGUGGAAAACCCAUGCGCGUAAUGAAAGUGAUAGCUGAGAUCCUCUCAUCAGGAGCACCAGCGCCUGGACUUGAUCUACGGAGACGGUUCUACGGUAGAGCAUGUAUGUUGGGACCCGAAAGAUGGUGAACUAUGCCUGAAUAGGGUGAAGCCAGAGGAAACUCUGGUGGAG
This 742-nucleotide ribosomal RNA is filed under the name Thelephora efibulis. Its description in RNAcentral is "Tomentella efibulis partial large subunit ribosomal RNA". It matches the Rfam family "Eukaryotic large subunit ribosomal RNA", at positions 142 to 872 of the family's 3401-position model. Lineage: Eukaryota; Fungi; Basidiomycota; Agaricomycetes; Thelephorales; Thelephoraceae. The record is from RNAcentral.